AUGCAGUCGAGCGGAUGAGUGGAGCUUGCUCCAUGAUUCAGCGGCGGACGGGUGAGUAAUGCCUAGGAAUCUGCCUGGUAGUGGGGGACAACGUUUCGAAAGGAACGCUAAUACCGCAUACGUCCUACGGGAGAAAGUGGGGGAUCUUCGGACCUCACGCUAUCAGAUGAGCCUAGGUCGGAUUAGCUAGUUGGUGAGGUAAAGGCUCACCAAGGCGACGAUCCGUAACUGGUCUGAGAGGAUGAUCAGUCACACUGGAACUGAGACACGGUCCAGACUCCUACGGGAGGCAGCAGUGGGGAAUAUUGGACAAUGGGCGAAAGCCUGAUCCAGCCAUGCCGCGUGUGUGAAGAAGGUCUUCGGAUUGUAAAGCACUUUAAGUUGGGAGGAAGGGCAGUAAGUUAAUACCUUGCUGUUUUGACGUUACCAACAGAAUAAGCACCGGCUAACUUCGUGCCAGCAGCCGCGGUAAUACGAAGGGUGCAAGCGUUAAUCGGAAUUACUGGGCGUAAAGCGCGCGUAGGUGGUUCGUUAAGUUGGAUGUGAAAGCCCCGGGCUCAACCUGGGAACUGCAUCCCAAAACUGGCGAGCUAGAGUAUGGCAGAGGGUGGUGGAAUUUCCUGUGUAGCGGUGAAAUGCGUAGAUAUAGGAGGGAACACCAGUGGCGAAGGCGACACCUGGGCUAAUACUGAC
This 693-nucleotide ribosomal RNA is filed under the name Stutzerimonas stutzeri. RNAcentral's name for it is "bacterial SSU rRNA". It matches the Rfam family "Bacterial small subunit ribosomal RNA", at positions 55 to 744 of the family's 1533-position model. Lineage: Bacteria; Pseudomonadati; Pseudomonadota; Gammaproteobacteria; Pseudomonadales; Pseudomonadaceae. The record is from RNAcentral.